AUUGAACGCUGGCGGCGUGCCUAACACAUGCAAGUCGAGCGGUAACAGGUGUAGCAAUACAUGCUGACGAGCGGCGGACGGGUGAGUAACGCUUGGGAAUCUGCCUAUUAGUGGGGGACGAACCCGGGGAAACGUCGGGCGUAAUACCGCAUACGCUCUACGGAGGAAAGACCGGGGACCGGCAAGGCCUGGCGCUAAUAGAUGAGCCCAACGUCGGA
RNAcentral lists this ribosomal RNA (218 nucleotides) under uncultured bacterium. RNAcentral's name for it is "partial 16S ribosomal RNA". It matches the Rfam family "Bacterial small subunit ribosomal RNA", at positions 30 to 240 of the family's 1533-position model. The record is from RNAcentral.